GAAAAAUAAAAAGAUGAACUCUUUGAGAUUAGAGGUAAUAAUAUCAAGAAAUAUCUGUUCUCAUUUGAGUGCAUGUGUCUCUGCAAAAUUCAUAUGUUGGAACUUAAAGCCCAGGGUGAUGGUAUUAAGAGGUGGUAGAAAGGCAUUUGGGAAUGGAUUACAUCAUAAAGGCUCUACCCUGAUUAAUGGGAUUAUGGAACAGGCUUCAAAGAGCUACCUGGAACUUCCAUCACUUCUACCAUGUGAAGAUAAACAUGAAUCUCUUUUUUCCCUUAUAUUUCUUCUGCCAUGUGAGAACACAGUAUUUGUCUUUUCCACCUUUCCAUGAUGUGAGGACACCCCAAGAAUGUCCCCUAAAGACAGGAAACAAGACAUGGAAUCUUCUGGCACCAUGAUCUUGGACUUCAUAGCCUCCAAAAUGGUUAGCAAGCUGAAGCAAGGGAAGAGAAGAACAGUUUAAUAAUCAAAGAGCGUGAUUAUAAUGAUGCCCCCAUGGAGCUGAAGAAUAGAGAACCUACAGACCCGCAUGUAUUGAAGUUUGAAACCACCUGUGUAAACAGCACACAGAUGAAGGACCACUUUACCCUGUUUCUCACACCAUAGGUGUCAUAGACAUACUAAUGAAGGGGCUGCCUCACACAGAGAGCUAUCUUACAAGGUUCUGAGAAUAAAAUGAGAGCUAGAAGAGACAUGAUUUCUACUUCAAUAUUUUAUUUGGCAACAUCCUACUGAAAAGACAAGCAAAACCACUAUGAUUCAUAAUACUUGCAGAUGAAGGCAAUAUGACACAAGAAGGUUAAACGGCCUCUCAUGACAAUUGAAGGGAACGAGAGCAAAGCCACCUGCAUAUCUUCGGCAGUUAAAGAUCAGAAUCAUAACAACAAUAACAUCUCACAAUUUUCCAAGUGCUCCUUCGGCUCUGUCUUUUUCCUCCCACCUGAGGCCCCCAGGGUGGGUGUAGACAUUCAUCUCUGCUUCAUUUGAUCCACCUCUGCUUGGCCACUGCUGGACUUUUUCUCAGGCAAAGGAGAACCCCCAGGAGAGUGGAUAAACUGGACCAAGGAGCUGCAGAGGUAGUUUGAUUUCACCACAAUCAUUUCAUCUGUCUUAGCAAAACCCCCUUGGGCUUGCCCUGUAGUACACAAACUUGGCUUUGUUCACGCAGCUCAAAUAGAACACUUCUCCUUCAAAAUUUAACUCAGCUCUCGGAAACACUGAAAGGAAAUGUGGCCUAUAAUUAUCCAACGUGAGAUGCAAGGAUUGAAUGCUUUGUCCAAGCUUUGCUGUUCUAAGAGAAGUCAAGGUGAAGGGUUUAGUGCCUCUGAAGCUGGGGCAAGAAAACAAUCGGCUUCUCCAACGGUCAGUAAAGAAUACAAGGGCACAGUUAAAACAGAGCCACUGAAGUGAACAACCUUCAUGUGACCAACAGGAGAAACACCCCCUCCAGGAACCUAAGACCAGUUUGCUACAAGAAUACAAUUGGUAUUCCCCACAGUCACCCUCACAAGGGACACUUACAAAGCACACUCCAAUCUCAGCCAUUACUGACUGACAAGAGCCUGCCUGUCUGAAGCCUGCAGGCCCGAGAAGCUUCUUUCUCCCUUCUCUUGGCUAUUAGUCACAGCUGGUAAGGCUCACAGGAACCGAGACUGUUUGAAAACAGUUGGAUCACGAAAACGUUUGAGUCUUUCUGCUGCAAGCAACAAACUUGGCCCAGGCUGCCACAAGGAGAUGGAGUGGGAGUGGGGGUGGCGAUGGGAUGCACCAGGAACGAAGGAAGAAAGGGAAAUUGCUAACCACCUCACUUCAAAAUCUUCUCUGAGGGAGCCCGUGGCUAUUAUCCUGGUUCAAAUGUCACAGAUAGAAGAUAAUAAAAACAAGAAGAAAUAAAAUUCAAGAUCCAUUAGAACACUUCUGGAUUGUCCAUUACAGCAUGUAUUACCCAACAGAAAGAUGAUCACUAAUAGAUGACAAGCUAUUUAAUUUUAUGUUUACUUUUGGAAGGAUGCAGGUACUGUGCAGGGUUUCUACAACACAUCAGCAUUGCUUACACCAGUACUUCAAAUAUGAGUUAUUUAAUCACCCAAGUUAAAUGAAAAUAACCAAAUGAUUAAAUAAAAUCAAGUCAUACUUCAUGUGAAGACUUUA
This 2148-nucleotide long non-coding RNA is filed under the name Homo sapiens (human). Its description in RNAcentral is "HSALNT0383553". Lineage: Eukaryota; Metazoa; Chordata; Mammalia; Primates; Hominidae. The record is from RNAcentral.